CUGGAUUGUAAACAAACAGUAGGAGUUUCUUUCCACAGUGGAAGGGAGAAUAAUGAGAAGAAGGAUGCAGAAGAGAGGGGAAAGUUGAAAGUAGCUGAUAUGGGACCACAGAAUAUUGGCCAAUCAAUUGUAAUGACUAUACUUAUACCUAAACAAGUAAUAAAUAAAUGCAUUUGGCUUCCUUACCUUGAGUAUUGAAUCAACAUUUGAAAACAAAGUAAUCAACCUUUGGCAAUUUGUCCUUCAGAGAGAGAAAAACUCCCUUAGAAACCCAUAUUAAAAGAAACGUGCACAUGUAUCCCAGAACUUAAAGUAAAAUAAAAAAUAAAAGAAAAGAAAAGAAACAUGGGGAAAAAGGAGCAAGAGGAAGUUGAGAAGAAAAUUCAAGAAGGUGGUGCUACAAGGGCUUCUCAAUUUUGUACUUUUUCCUUUCAACAUUUUCUCUCCUGGACCCAAGAAACAUCAAAGGACUUUGUAUUCUCCAGUGAAUGAAGGAUAAAAAUUAGACAUGGAGACACUUGGUUUGGCAGAGCAGGGAUCCAAGCUAGAUAAAUUACAUUCCAGAAGUGGGAUUUCAGAUAACAUUCAGCGUGGAGUGCAGGAGUUGAAAUGGUGAGGGUAAACAAGGAGACAAGUUCAAAGAUGACAAGCCUGAAGACCGUGAGUUAAGAUCAUAGAGCCACAGACCAGAAGCAGCCUGCAUCCCUGAAUCCCAGUACGGAAUAAAGUGUCACCUGAACUGCUUCAGACUUUGUGGGAAUGAGAAACAAACCUUCCUUUUAGUGCUAUGUGACCUACCGUAGUUACCUUGCUGAACUCAUCUGGCUCUACUCUCUACCUCCCUACUUCUCUUGAGUCCCGUUAGCCAGCACACCUGGAUCCUCCACAUCUGAGCACCAUCUGCUCCUUUAUUCUGCCUAAAAUGUACUUCCUCAAAUCUCUGUAUGGCUGGCUCCUUAAUAUAAGUCUGCUCACUAUAAAAUGGCAUUUCUGACCUAGCACCCUUUUAAACAUAACUGCUGACCUUCCUCCCUCUACUUUCUAUCAUUAAACUCUAUUAUUUUAGAUCAUUUACUUAUCACUAUGUGAAAUCAUAUGAUUUAUCUUGUUUCUGUUUGUCUUUUCCCCCCAGAUAGAAUGUAAACUUGAUGAGGGUAGGAACUAUUUAUGUCUUAGUUAACGUUGUUUCCCUAGCACCUAGCCUGGUGCCUAGCACAUAGUAAAUAAUAAAUGUGUAUUAAUGAAUGAAUAGCUAUUGAUGUUAAAGAGACAUUCUUGAAUUUAGGUCGAUGUCUGUAAUCAUUACACCAUUG
RNAcentral lists this long non-coding RNA (1313 nucleotides) under Homo sapiens (human). RNAcentral describes it as "HSALNT0328048". The record is from RNAcentral. Lineage: Eukaryota; Metazoa; Chordata; Mammalia; Primates; Hominidae.